AUAAAAGAACAGUACAGAAGACAAAAAGCACAAGACAAAGCAAAAAUGAUAACCGUUGUUCAAUGGGAUGGCUACAGGUGCAUAUACAUCCCCCAAGUUUGAGAAUUUGUACCAUUUACCGACCCUUUUAAGGAGUAAGAUGAAAUCCCUCCACACAGAAAGAAAUAGAACAUUCAUAUUGUGAACAUGACAGACCCAAAGCAAAUAUUGCACUUUCCUAAGCUGUUUGUCUAUUCUAAGCUACCACAUUCUACAAUGCAUUCUUUUGGCCAGAUUUUGAUAUGUCCACAUGCCUGAAGAACCACCCCCUCUCUUGUAAAGAGUUGAAAUUAUUGCAAUGCAUAAACUAUCUCCCCACUGCUAUCCACAUCAAGCUCAGAUUCAGAAUCAAAGUCCAGCAUGUCAUCAUC
RNAcentral lists this unclassified non-coding RNA (410 nucleotides) under Hevea brasiliensis (rubber tree). The record is from RNAcentral. Lineage: Eukaryota; Viridiplantae; Streptophyta; Magnoliopsida; Malpighiales; Euphorbiaceae.